ACACAUAAGGAUUGUAGCAAAGGAGGGUGUUGGAACGAACCGGGCUUUGUACCGGAUUGCCUUUUAACCAGCCUUGAAUAUUUUGAGUGGAGACGUUACAAAGGAACCAAAGGUCAGAGUGAUCUCGUGACCUAUAUCUUGAGGAAUGCUUGUCAUUUGAAAAUGGUGAAGAUACUCACUGAGACAGAUGAUCCUGAAGAGCAGCUUGAGAUGAUUAAGAAGUUAGCAUUCUCCCCUAGAGCAUCAAUUACAUGUCAAGUUGAUUUCGACUGAAAAAAACAUUCUCUAUCCCUAAUCCAUGUAAUGAACGAUCCAGUUCAGUCUUUUUUUAUAAUGUGUGCAUGUGUGGAUAAAUGAUUGAUGUAUCUUUGUUUAUAUUUGGUCUGUAUCACAACAUAGUGAUCCAUAACGAUUGAAGAUUCUCACUCUCUAGCGUUUUUAUUCUUUAGCUAUGUUCUUGCCUUGGGAGUCAAGUCUCAUAAUGGAAGAGAUGAUCUCUGCUUUUAGAUGCCGACGACUUUAGAAGAAACAUUUAAUUAAACCAAAAAGCCACCAGACAUUGAUAUAAACAGACAAAUAUAUUAUUUUCGUCUUAACAUUUUUCAUACACCGAAUCAGCAUUGAGAUAAAGAAACAUACAUAUAGAUAAGUAGCUAACAAUAUCAAAGAUCACUUCUGUUUUCUAUCUUUUCCUUUCUUCCUAUGAACAAUCUCAUCAGAAUAGCACACUCCAAUACGCUUGUAUGGCUCUGCUGGCCUCCAUUUCCUUACCGUAGCAGCAAACUGCCCAAUCUCACACUUGUCAUAUCCACUCACUAUGACUAUCGUUAUCUUAACUUUUUCACCUUUACCAAAAAGUAUAAUCUUCUUAUCCACUUUCACUUUGAGACUAUCUGGUAUCUCAAUCUUAACCGGGUGAGAAAACCCAAGAUUCAACACCAAUUCUUUUCCUUGGACCAUCGCACGAUAACCAACACCUUUGAGCUCAAGUGUUUUCUCAAAUCCCUUUGAUACUCCCACAACCAUGUUGUCAGUAAGCGUCCUAACAUUAAAAAAGGGAUGUCAGCACUAAAAUUAAAGUCUUUCGUUGAAAAAGGCUAAGAGUUUUGUAACCUGAAAAGGCCAUGCAUUUCUUUGGCUCUUCUAGUUUCCACGGUUUUUGUGACCCUCAAGAAACCGGAGUCUUCUUCAAUAAGCUCAACUUCUGGUGGGUAAGUUAAAGCGAGUUCUCCCAAAGGACCCUUCACUUUUAAGUCUUGACCUUGUAUUUAAAUGGUAACAUUGGACGGUACAGCGAUUGGCUGCUUUCCUAUCCUUGAUUCUUUGCGCUUGGUGGUCUUAGCAGAGACACCCACUUGAGCAAAUGGGGUGGUUGAGACCUUGAGUAGCCUUCUUCUGUCGCCUAAGAACCCUGACCUGAAAAACAAAGGGAGCUUAUAUCUUCAAAGAGAUAACAUUCUUACAAAGUAAUCGGACCACAAGAUACUUAACUUACAAAUAUAAAAUUUCAAAACAAAAAAACAUCAAGAAAGUCAAAAAACGAGUAUCGGACUACAAGAUACUCAACCAUGUAUCCUUCAUUUUUAAUAUAAUCUGAGUGUUUAAAAAAAAAGCUUCUCAAGUAUAUCUUUAGAUCAUGGAUGAAAUACAACAAAGGGUAAAAGGAAAUAACCCUAAAGACUAAGCCAAAACACAAAGGCCAAAGGAUAACGAAGGUCCUUGGAGACAACAACAAGCCGGCGAACAUAAACACAUUCCCGGAAGCCAGAUAAACCAUAAUAUCUAAUAAAGCAAAAACAUACUCUACACAAGUAAAGCAAACAAAACCCUAGUGAAAAUCAAGAAACUAUAGUAAAGAUAAGAAUUUAUGGUAUACAUUGGUAGAAAACAAGAGAGGAAUGAGGAAGCCAUUGCUUUCUAAAAAGAUUGUCUAAGGAGCUCUUUCUGAUCUAGAAGGAGAAUAGUGGAGAGAGUUUAUGAGCCAGUUAAGGAUUCGGCGAGAAGAUAUGUUGUGACGCGACGUGACGUGCAUGUGUGGGAAAAGGAGACAACGUAAGACUGUGUCUCGAUUAAGGAGACACAGCUGGUAAGCAUAUUAAAAAAAAUUAAACAAACUAAAUAAAUAAAUAAAACUAUACUACUACACAAUCCAGGUUUAAGCCCACCAAAAAAUUAAAAUUAUGCAGCUCUGCUAAUUAAUAGGCCGUCAGAAAAAUUAAAGAUAAGUAGACGUCAUAUUGUGAGCAGUAAAAGAAAAAGGGCAAGUUAGAAAAAUCAGCAUUGGUGGAGAUUAAUUAAGAAACCACAAAAAGAUUAGUAUACAAAAAAAAAAAAAAAAUCCACAAAAAGAUAUCCCGAGUUUGAAUAUUUCAGUCAGAAUACUGUUAAAUGUUUUAAAUGUUCCAUGACUUUUGUUUUGGCUCAUCACAUUGUUCUUUUUUUUUUGGUGUUGAUGAUUCAGUAUACUUUUUAACUCUAAAAAGCAAGAACUUAAAAAAUUUAAGAUGAAUACGCAAUUUAAGCUGAAUACAGUGACUUGAAAUUGUAAAACAGACCCCUAAUGAAUGAAACAUCUUAAUAAGUUAUAUCAUUGUUCUUUUUAUCAAGGUUUCUUAUUUUCUCGGAAACUAAAACAAUCGGCAUAUUGUUAAAAAUUUGCAAGUAUAUUUUGGUUUCAAUUGGCAUAUGGAUGAACAUAUGGCGACACUGAAUCUAAGGUUGAAGGACAAUUUUUCAACAACUUGUUCAUCUAGAGAUAUGUACAUGUAAACCCCAGUGGUGGAAUCUACUAGUGUGUCUGCUCACAGCGACUCCUAAACUACGAGUUCUCAAGCUUAAAUGGGUAUAAAACCGUUUCUGUAAGCUUAUCACCUCUCAUGUUUCCUUGUCUUGGUUAGACGAUCUAAUACCAAAAUGUUCAUUUCAGACACAUAAGGAUUGUAGAAAAGGAGGGUGUUGGAACGAACCCGGUUCUGUACCGGAUUGCCUGUUAACCAGUUUUGAAAAAAUUGAGUGGAGACGUUACAAAGGAACUAAAGAUCAAGAGUGAUCUUGUGACUUAUAUCUUGAGGAAUUCUUGUCAUUUCAAGACGGUGAAGAUAUUCACUGAGUCAGAUGAUCAUGAGGAGCAACUUGAGACGAUAAAGAAGUUAGCAUUCUCACCUAGAGCAUCAAUUACAUGUCAAGUUGAUUUCGAC
This 3197-nucleotide long non-coding RNA is filed under the name Brassica rapa (field mustard). RNAcentral describes it as "long non-coding RNA (BRAP_LNC000915)". Lineage: Eukaryota; Viridiplantae; Streptophyta; Magnoliopsida; Brassicales; Brassicaceae. The record is from RNAcentral.